RNAcentral lists this ribosomal RNA (253 nucleotides) under uncultured bacterium. RNAcentral describes it as "partial 16S ribosomal RNA". It matches the Rfam family "Bacterial small subunit ribosomal RNA", at positions 524 to 776 of the family's 1533-position model. The record is from RNAcentral.
UACGUAGGGGGCAAGCGUUGUCCGGAAUCAUUGGGCGUAAAGCGCGUGUAGGCGGGUCGGUAAGUCCGCUCUGAAAGCCCGGGGCUCAACCCCGGGAGGCGGGUGGAUACUGUCGACCUCGAGUCCGGAAGAGGCGAGUGGAAUUCCUGGUGUAGCGGUGAAAUGCGUAGAUAUUGGGAGGAACACCAGUGGCGAAGGCGGCUCACUGGACCGGAACUGACGCUGAGGCGCGAAAGCGUGGGGAGCAAACAGG